CCUACGGGAGGCAGCAGUCGAGAAUCAUUCACAAUGGGGGAAACCCUGAUGGUGCGACGCCGCGUGGGGGAAUGAAGGUCUUCGGAUUGUAAACCCCUGUCAUGUGGGAGCAAAUUAACAAGAUAGUACCACAAGAGGAAGAGACGGCUAACUCUGUGCCAGCAGCCGCGGUAAUACAGAGGUCUCAAGCGUUGUUCGGAAUCACUGGGCGUAAGGCGUGCGUAGGCUGUUUCGUAAGUCGGGUGUGAAAGGCGCGGGCUCAACCCGCGGACGGAACAUGAUACUGCGAGACUAGAGUAAUGGAGGGGGAAGCGGAAUUCUCGGUGUAGCAGUGAAAUGCGUAGAUAUCGAGAGGAACACUCGUGGCGAAGGCGGGUUCCUGGACAUUAACUGACGCUGAGGCACGAAGGCCAGGGGAGCGAAAGGGAUUAGAUACCCUGGUAGUC
Molecule: ribosomal RNA, 446 nt
Filed under: uncultured bacterium
Lineage: Bacteria
Description: partial 16S ribosomal RNA
Rfam family: Bacterial small subunit ribosomal RNA
Source: RNAcentral